AUAUAUAUAAGUGAGAUCCUAGCCAGAGAAGAGCAACAGGAGCUAUAUUCAAGGAAGUUUUGGACUUGAAUCAGAGAUUGGAUUGACAUCCGGAAUAGAGAGGAAAAGAGGAAGCAAACAUAGCUAGCACACGAAAGAAAGCCUUGCAACUACGCGCUAUAUAUUUUAUUUGCAACUGCGCUAAUAAGGGCACAUCCGCUUUCU
This 204-nucleotide long non-coding RNA is filed under the name Panicum hallii. Its description in RNAcentral is "long non-coding RNA (PHAL_LNC000352)". Lineage: Eukaryota; Viridiplantae; Streptophyta; Magnoliopsida; Poales; Poaceae. The record is from RNAcentral.